This 450-nucleotide ribosomal RNA is filed under the name uncultured bacterium. RNAcentral's name for it is "partial 16S ribosomal RNA". It matches the Rfam family "Bacterial small subunit ribosomal RNA", at positions 338 to 795 of the family's 1533-position model. The record is from RNAcentral.
CCUACGGGCGGCUGCAGUGAGGAAUAUUGGUCAAUGGGCGCAAGCCUGAACCAGCCAUCCCGCGUGCAGGAAGACGGCCCUAUGGGUUGUAAACUGCUUUUCCAGGGGACGAAUAGUUUCUACUUGUAGAGACCUGACGGUACCUUGGGAAUAAGCAUCGGCUAACUCCGUGCCAGCAGCCGCGGUAAUACGGAGGAUGCAAGCGUUAUUCGGAUUAAUUGGGUUUUAGGGGGAUUUAGACGGAUUAAUAGAAAUCCUACAGCUUAACUGUAGAACUGCCAUUGAUACUGUUAGUCUUGAGUUUGGUUAAGGUAGGCGGAAUGUGUAAUGUAGCGGUGAAAUGCUUAGAUAUUACACAGAACACCAAUUGCGAAGGCAGCUUACUGGACCGACACUGACGCUGAGGCACGAAAGCGUGGGGAUCGAACAGGAUUAGAUACCCGAGUAGUC